CUGUGAUUUUUGAGAUUUCCUAAGUCAAAGGGCUGAAUCCAUCAUGUAUGAAAACAAAUGAAGCUGGGAAUUUGGAGCAGACCUGGCAAAAGGGUAUGAUUGUGGUUUGGAAUAAACUGAAAGAAGGAUGAUUCUUCUCAAGAUAAGAGCAUACUUGUACCUCCAUACCAGGAAAUGAGUUAAAGUAGAAAAGGGUAUCCUGAAGUAGAUGCAGUCAUAUGAGCACAAGAAUUCUUUUUAAAAGUUAGCACAUAUUGGGGACUGUAAAUCAGCUUUGUUAUGGUAUGACUACAUCUAUACCACUGGUUCUUAAUAAAGUUAGUAAAAAUGUUCUCCUAACUGACGGAGUGAUGCUAAUAAAACUUUUAUGUGUACAAGACCCCUAAAAAUUGGAAUAAUCAAUAAAUAACAUAUACGACUACUGUUAACAUUGCACACCCCAAAUUCAGCAAGAAUUCCUAUUAUGCAAGUCUGAGUUUGUAGAGCGGUAAUUCUACUAAGCUAGCACUGUGGGAGAAUGCAGAAGUUGCUUUUUAAAAGUUGAAGUGCCAUUUUAUUUCUCUUGAUACAUUUUGGGGAACUUUCCAAAAUCAGUCUUGGCACAGCUGAAGCAUCUUUAACACUCUUCUACUACUGUUUCUUCUACCACUGUCACCUUUUAGGAGCUUAUGUUUUUAGCAUUCUUCUACCACUAUCACUCUUAAAAGGUUAUGUGUGUUCUCCAAAUGGGACCAGAUUGUACUGAAAGACUGUUAUUUUUAAUACAGUUUCCUGUGGAGGAAUAACCUGAAUUCCUGGCAACGCACCACUAUUCAAUUCAUACAAAGCACUCACAUCAUUUACUCCAGAAACAGGCUUGGGCUCACAACCAUUCUGAUGUAAUCUCUACGAGCAGUGCUAUUUUAAGUGCAAUCACAUUACAUUAUAGGCAAGUACUAAAGGUAUACAAGAAGAGAACUUCAAACAUCCUUUGGGGUUGAAUUUUGCAAAAAGUGAUGCUUCGUAAAAGCUUGUCAACAUAAACUACUUCCAAGUGAAAGUUUAUUAAAUAUACUAAAUUAAGGUCUGAUGAUACAUAGCAAUUUGCUACAUAUGGGAAUGCUUAAAGCAAAAUGUGAUUUAUGUAUUUGACUUCUACCUGCAAGAGAAACAUCUGCCGUCCAGUGUGUGAUUUCAGUGCGCUUGGGAUGGAAUGAGUCCAGCUACCUAGUGGCAGACAUUAUAGAGGCACUUUCUUAGGCUGUUAUGGGUCUCAGAAACUCGGGACUGACCAAAAAUCCUAAAGCAAAGAAACUACUGAAGACUAUUUAUAUGGCUGCCCCACAUACUCCGAGGAGGAUCCAAUCUCAUUGAAUGAUAGGGCCUGUUAAUUUGUGGUAAACCAGAUGGGAAUGAGAGUCAUGUGAAAAAAACCCAACAAAACGAUGCAUGUGAUUUCUCCUGAUCAAGUGUCUUAUAAAAUAAUGGCAAAUUUUUUGUAAUACCAUGCCCUAGGAGUCAGCAUUUUCCUAUAGCUCUCCCGUGUCCUUCCCGUAAAUGCUCUGCUGAGGUCCUAAGUGUUCUUGCUCUUUGCAUGGAAAAGACAAAAAAGUACAAGGAAGACUAGAAUUCAAACUUUCGAGGGCACUUGUGAAUUGAGCUGGUUCACAGGCCCUCAUGAGCAAAAGAUGUGAAGAUAAUCAAAAAGAAAACUCAUGUGCUGGGCCUUUAUCAGAAUUCAGACUAAGGCAGGAUAUUUUAGAAAGACAUUGACAAAUUAUUUUGCUGUUUUGGACAUGGACAAUGUGGAAGGGAAUAGUUAGUGGGGUGUGACUGAGGAAUAUACCAAGGGAUCUUUGGUAUGCAGAGACUUGAUUUCUCAGGAAUGGAUGUAGUCCUUCCUGCUUCCCUUCCUCCCAACAUCCCUAUUGCUGUCCAGCCUUCUGUCAAAGAAAUACUCUGGCUGUAAGUUGCACUGUAGAAGAAUUUAUUAAAAACUAUUUCUCUUGCCAUUGUAA
Long non-coding RNA from Corapipo altera (White-ruffed manakin), 1997 nucleotides. RefSeq lists it as uncharacterized. The transcript is spliced from 2 exons. Lineage: Eukaryota; Metazoa; Chordata; Aves; Passeriformes; Pipridae. The record is from RefSeq and is a predicted model, not a curated record.